RNAcentral lists this ribosomal RNA (537 nucleotides) under uncultured Collinsella sp. RNAcentral's name for it is "partial 16S ribosomal RNA". It matches the Rfam family "Bacterial small subunit ribosomal RNA", at positions 523 to 1060 of the family's 1533-position model. Lineage: Bacteria; Bacillati; Actinomycetota; Coriobacteriia; Coriobacteriales; Coriobacteriaceae. The record is from RNAcentral.
AUACGUAGGGGGCGAGCGUUAUCCGGAUUCAUUGGGCGUAAAGCGCGCGUAGGCGGCCCGGCAGGCCGGGGGUCGAAGCGGGGGGCUCAACCCCCCGAAGCCCCCGGAACCUCCGCGGCUUGGGUCCGGUAGGGGAGGGUGGAACACCCGGUGUAGCGGUGGAAUGCGCAGAUAUCGGGUGGAACACCGGUGGCGAAGGCGGCCCUCUGGGCCGAGACCGACGCUGAGGCGCGAAAGCUGGGGGAGCGAACAGGAUUAGAUACCCUGGUAGUCCCAGCCGUAAACGAUGGACGCUAGGUGUGGGGGGACGAUCCCCCCGUGCCGCAGCCAACGCAUUAAGCGUCCCGCCUGGGGAGUACGGCCGCAAGGCUAAAAACUCAAAGGAAUUGACGGGGGCCCGCACAAGCGGUGGAGCAUGUGGUUUAAUUCGAAGCAACGCGCAGAACCUUACCAACCCUUGACAUCCUGUGCUACACGGAGAGAUCCGUGGUUCCCUUGGGGGACCAGUGACAGGGUGCUGCAUGGCUGUCGUCAGCU